RNAcentral lists this ribosomal RNA (280 nucleotides) under uncultured bacterium. RNAcentral describes it as "partial 16S ribosomal RNA". It matches the Rfam family "Bacterial small subunit ribosomal RNA", at positions 506 to 784 of the family's 1533-position model. The record is from RNAcentral.
UGCCAGCAGCCGCGGUAAGACGUAGGGGGCGAGCGUUGUCCGGAAUUAUUGGGCGUAAAGGGCUCCUAGGUUGUUCAGUAAGUCGACUGUGAAAAUCCAAGGCUCAACCUUGGGACGCCAGUCGAUACUGCUGUGACUCGAGUUCGGUAGAGGAGUGUGGAAUUCCUGGUGUAGCGGUGAAAUGCGCAGAUAUCAGGAGGAACACCAACGGCGAAGGCAGCACUCUGGGCCGAUACUGACACUGAAGAGCGAAAGCAUGGGGAGCAAACAGGAUUAGAUA